GUUACCUGAGUUGCGCUGAGCGCGCGUAUCCCUGGAAAUAGCGGAGGCGCGCGAACAGGUAGAACAGUCCGCACAGGGCUGCGGCUCCUGCGAGAGUCGAUGCAAGGCGACGCGGUGAGCACGAGCUCCCGCCAUCCGGGAUCACCCCCACCCCCGAAGUGUGCCCCCACGCUGCCCCGCACCUUCGUGGAAGAAGAUGCCGGCGACCCAGAGUGUGGCGAGGAACAGCGGAAAGUACUCGCUGCAGUUUACCCUGCGAGGGGUAGGCUGGGUGAGCGCGUGGUUCACCUUGGCUGACACCCGAACCCGCCCGGACCCGCCGCGCUCACUGGGCUCGGAAGACGCGCUCGAACUCGGGAGGGCCAGAGUACCCCCUUCAUGGAUCAAGAGAAGAUACUGAGCAUCAUAACCGCCUCAGAGAGCUGCUCCAGCUGUACAAGGUAGCCACUGGGGAAGAACUGCCCUUAUUCAUCGACAGACCAAAAGUACUGUCCAGGAAAGGACACAGGAUGUGGGAUAGUCGACAGCUUAGCUCUGCCAAGAAAGGCUCUCUGCAAAGCUUUACACUUGGGCUGUCAAGAUGGCUCAGCCAGUCUUCCACCACACCUGAUGGCAUGAUUAUAAUCCCGGGACUCACUUGGGGAAGCCAACUCCAGCAUGUUAUCUUCUAGUCUCCACAGGCAUGCUGUGGCAUACAUCUACUAACCGACAUCCACAUAUUUUUUAAAAAUGUAGUGAGAAAAAUUCAAAGUUGUGCUAUCCAAGUUGAAAUCCUACAUCAUCAAGGCCUCUUUCCCCCUCUAAAGGAGCCACUGAAAUGGAAACCCCUCUGCUUCCUUGGAGAGGCCUCUCUUGUAGGCCCAACCCCGGGUUGAACAGCUCAGCUAGCAUCACGUCAGUGAAAAGGCCCUUCCUCUGUAGAGAAAGCUGAAGUCUCAACUCACAAGACCCUCACAUCAAGCUCUAAUAUGGUAACAUCAACCUGACAUGGCAAAUCUAUCUGCUCAGGGUUUCACAUUCAAAGGACUUACUGACAAGUCAGACUCAAGUCGCUUUUUAAAGCUAAGCUUGGUGGUGUUCAUCUUUAAUCUCAGCACUUGGGAAGGAGGAACAAGCGGAUCUCUGAAUUUGAGGCCAGCCUGGUCUACAGAGCAAGUUCCAGAACAGCCAGGACGACACACACACACAAACAUGGUGUGCCCACCAAAAAUAAAUAAAUAAAAGUUUUUAUUUUU
This 1235-nucleotide long non-coding RNA is filed under the name Mus musculus (house mouse). RNAcentral's name for it is "predicted gene, 26542". The record is from RNAcentral. Lineage: Eukaryota; Metazoa; Chordata; Mammalia; Rodentia; Muridae.